Molecule: ribosomal RNA, 1269 nt
Filed under: human vaginal metagenome
Description: bacterial LSU rRNA
Rfam family: Bacterial large subunit ribosomal RNA
Source: RNAcentral
CCGGUAUGAGUAGCGAAAGAUAGGUGAGAAUCCUAUCCGCCGAAAGACUAAGGUUUCCUGGGGCAGGCUCGUCCGCCCAGGGUAAGUCGGGACCUAAGGUAAGGCCGAGAGGCGUAGCCGAUGGACAACAGGUAGAGAUUCCUGUACUGAAAUUGUUCGAUAUGAGCAAAGGAGGGACGCAGGAGGCUAAUGACGCAUGUUGCUGGAAAUACAUGUGCAAGCAGUAAGAAGAAAGAUGAGUCAAAUGCUUGUCUAAAGAAAUCAAGCUGUGAUGCGGAGCGAAAUUAAAGUAGCGAAGGUCAUGAUGUCACACUGCCAAGAAAAGCUUCUAGCCAGAGCAAUUUUACCCGUACCGCAAACCGACACAGGUAGUCGAGUGGAGAACACUCAGGUGAGCGAGAGAACUCUCGUUAAGGAACUCGGCAAAAUGACCCCGUAACUUCGGGAGAAGGGGUGCUGAUGGUAAAAGAUCAGCCGCAGUGAAUAGGCCCAAACAACUGUUUAUCAAAAACACAGGUAUCUGCAAAAUCGUAAGAUGACGUAUAGGUGCUGACACCUGCCCGGUGCUGGAAGGUUAAGAGGAGAGCUUAGCGCAAGCGAAGGUUUGAAUUGAAGCCCCAGUAAACGGCGGCCGUAACUAUAACGGUCCUAAGGUAGCGAAAUUCCUUGUCGGGUAAGUUCCGACCUGCACGAAGGCAAUGUUGGGAUACUACCCUUGUUUGAUGGAUCCUCUAACUCGCAGAGCUGAGCGUUCUGGAGGACAGUGUCAGGUGGGCAGUUUGACUGGGGCGGUCGCCUCCUAAAAUGUAACGGAGGCGCCCAAAGGUUCCCUCAGAAUGGUUGGAAAUCAUUCGCAGAGUGUAAAGGUAUAAGGGAGCUUGACUGCGAGAGGUACACCUCGAGCAGGGACGAAAGUCGGGCUUAGUGAUCUGGUGGUACUGCAUGGAAAGGCCAUCACUCAACGGAUAAAAGCUACCCUGGGGAUAACAGGCUUAUCUCCCCCAAGAGUUCACAUCGACGGGGAGGUUUGGCACCUCGAUGUCGGCUCAUACCGCUGGUGUACCAGUUGUCUUGCCAAAGGCAUCGCUGGGUAGCUAUGUAUGGAAGGGAUAAGCGCUGAAAGCAUCUAAGUGCGAAGCCCCCCUCAAGAUGAGAUUUCCGAUGCGUAAGCAGUAAGACACCUUAAAGACGAUGAGGUAGAUAGGCUAGGAGUGGAAGCAUAGCGAUAUGUGGAGCGGACUAGUACUAAUCAGUCGAGCACUUGACCAA